This 348-nucleotide unclassified non-coding RNA is filed under the name soil metagenome. RNAcentral describes it as "partial contains 5.8S ribosomal RNA, internal transcribed spacer 2, and large subunit ribosomal RNA". The stretch from base 1 to 120 matches the Rfam family "5.8S ribosomal RNA", at positions 35 to 154 of the family's 154-position model. The record is from RNAcentral.
GAUGAAGAACGUAGCAAAAUGCGAUAAGUAAUGUGAAUUGCAGAAUUCAGUGAAUCAUCGAAUCUUUGAACGCACAUUACGCCCGCUGGUAUUCCGGCGGGCAUGCCUGUUCGAGCGUCAUUUCAACCCUCAAGCCCCCGGGUUUGGUGUUGGGGAUCGGCUCUGCCCUUCUGGGCGGUGCCGCCCCCGAAAUACAUUGGCGGUCUCGCUGCAGCCUCCAUUGCGUAGUAGCUAACACCUCGCAACUGGAACGCGGCGCGGCCAUGCCGUAAAACCCCAACUUCUGAAUGUUGACCUCGGAUCAGGUAGGAAUACCCGCUGAACUUAAGCAUAUCAAUAAGCGGAGGA